GCCACUUCCCACAUGUGCUCCCCUGGUCCUCUCAUUGGUGUUCGGGAGCAGGAGGUUGGUUCCUCCCAGUGAGCUGGGUGCUAUAACAGAUUAGACUUCUGUGCAAGAAAAUAAACCCUGCACAUUGGAUGUACUGCUUUAGACUCAAAGACCUCUUGGGACCUGACGUUGUAAGAUUCUGAAGGAAAGAAGACAUGAGCCAAGCAUUUUGCAUUCAGUGAAACUGACUUUCAAGUGAAAAGAGUGCCAGGAGUCUUCAGCUCUUUCUGAAGAAUCUACUAGAGAUUGAGCUUCAGAAUUCAAUAAAUCUGAAGACUACGCUUUAAAAAAAAUCGUCAGAGGAAAGGAAUUUGUAGAAAUAAAACUAGAAACAUCCAGAAUCUUGAUGGUGUGCCAAACCAGAUGUCAACUGGAGCUCGACCAAAA
Neogale vison (American mink) is the source of this 426-nucleotide long non-coding RNA. RefSeq lists it as uncharacterized. The record is from RefSeq and is a predicted model, not a curated record. Lineage: Eukaryota; Metazoa; Chordata; Mammalia; Carnivora; Mustelidae. The transcript has 3 exons.